Hordeum vulgare subsp. vulgare (domesticated barley) is the source of this 221-nucleotide long non-coding RNA. RefSeq lists it as uncharacterized. Lineage: Eukaryota; Viridiplantae; Streptophyta; Magnoliopsida; Poales; Poaceae. The record is from RefSeq and is a predicted model, not a curated record. The transcript has 3 exons.
UGAAAAACGUACCUAAAGAUAUUCCAAAGGAUGAUUGGGAAUGGCUUGUCAAGGAGCAUUUCUUCAGCAAGGAGUUUUUGAAGAAGAGCAAGAGAAAUACCCAAAAUAGAGCUAACCUCAAAAUGCUUCAUCGAUCUGGCAGUAAACCCUUUAGACAAAUAAUUUGGGACAUGGGAGGCAAGGAAAACAAGCCACCGAGUAUGGAUAAACUUUUUUCGGAG